RNAcentral lists this ribosomal RNA (207 nucleotides) under uncultured bacterium. Its description in RNAcentral is "partial 16S ribosomal RNA". It matches the Rfam family "Bacterial small subunit ribosomal RNA", at positions 568 to 774 of the family's 1533-position model. The record is from RNAcentral.
GGUGUAGGCGGCUUUGCAAGUCAAGUGUGAAAUCCCAGGGCCCAACCCUGGAACUGCACUCGAUACUGCAUCGCUAGAGUCCCGGAGAGGAUGGCGGAAUUCCAGGUGUAGAGGUGAAAUUCGUAGAUAUCUGGAGGAACACCAGUGGCGAAGGCGGCCAUCUGGACGGUGACUGACGCUCAGACCCGAAAGCGUGGGGAGCAAACA